RNAcentral lists this RNase P RNA (397 nucleotides) under Deltaproteobacteria bacterium. RNAcentral describes it as "RNase P RNA component class A". It matches the Rfam family "Bacterial RNase P class A". Rfam says of the family: Ribonuclease P (RNase P) is a ubiquitous endoribonuclease, found in archaea, bacteria and eukarya as well as chloroplasts and mitochondria. Its best characterised activity is the generation of mature 5'-ends of tRNAs by cleaving the 5'-leader elements of precursor-tRNAs. Cellular RNase Ps are ribonucleoproteins. Lineage: Bacteria; Pseudomonadati; Myxococcota; Myxococcia. The record is from RNAcentral.
CUGACAGGCCAAAUGGUCGCUGGUUCCGGGAAGCCGGAAUUGGAGGAAAGUCCGAGCUCCAGAGGGCAAGGUGGUUGCUAAUAACAACUGCCCCGGUAUCCCCGGGGUAAGGAAAGUGCCACAGAAAAUAUACCGCCCCGAGCACAUCGAGGGGUAAGGGUGAAAUGGUGAGGUAAGAGCUUACCAGUAUUCCAAGUGAUUGGGAUAGCUUGGCAAACCCCACCUGGAGCAAGACCAAAUAGGGGAGCAUCGAGGUGUCAAUCAUCUCAUCAGGUGGCCCGUUUGAAGCUCCCGGGUAGGUCGCUAGAGGUACCUGGCAACAGGUAUCCCAGAUGAAUGACCAUUGCCUGAAUUAUCAUAUUCAGGAACAGAACUCGGCUUAUGGCCUGUCUGAGUA